GGGCCGGUGGUCUAGUGGUAUGACGCCGCUCUCACGCGGCGGAUGUCGCGAGUUCGAAUCUUGCCCGGCCCA
This 72-nucleotide transfer RNA is filed under the name Candidatus Woesearchaeota archaeon CG1_02_47_18. RNAcentral describes it as "tRNA-Val". It matches the Rfam family "tRNA". Rfam says of the family: Transfer RNA (tRNA) molecules are approximately 80 nucleotides in length. Their secondary structure includes four short double-helical elements and three loops (D, anti-codon, and T loops). Lineage: Archaea; Nanobdellati; Candidatus Woesearchaeota. The record is from RNAcentral. RNAcentral also lists the same sequence under 2 other names.